GGCCCAGUGGUCUAGUAGUAUGAUACUCGCUUCGGGUGUGAGUGGUCCCGGGUUCAAUUCCCGGCUGGGCCC
This 72-nucleotide transfer RNA is filed under the name Coniophora puteana RWD-64-598 SS2. Its description in RNAcentral is "tRNA-Pro (CGG) (tRNA-Pro-CGG-1-1, tRNA-Pro-CGG-1-2)". It matches the Rfam family "tRNA". From Rfam's summary of the family: Transfer RNA (tRNA) molecules are approximately 80 nucleotides in length. Their secondary structure includes four short double-helical elements and three loops (D, anti-codon, and T loops). Lineage: Eukaryota; Fungi; Basidiomycota; Agaricomycetes; Boletales; Coniophoraceae. The record is from RNAcentral.